GUGGGGAAUAUUGGACAAUGGGCGAAAGCCUGAUCCAGCCAUGCCGCGUGUGUGAAGAAGGUCUUCGGAUUGUAAAGCACUUUAAGUUGGGAGGAAGGGCAGUAAGUUAAUACCUUGCUGUUUUGACGUUACCGACAGAAUAAGCACCGGCUAACUUCGUGCCAGCAGCCGCGGUAAUACGAAGGGUGCAAGCGUUAAUCGGAAUUACUGGGCGUAAAGCGCGCGUAGGUGGUUUUGUAAGUUGGAGGUGAAAUCCACGGGCGCAACCUGGGAACUGCCUACAAAACUGCAUGACUAGAGUACGGUAGAGGGUAGUGGAAUUUCCUGUGUAGCGGUGAAAUGCGUAGAUAUAGGAAGGAACACCAGUGGCGAAGGCGACUACCUGGACUGAUACUGACACUGAGGUGCGAAAGCGUGGGGAGCAAACAGGAUUAGAUACCCCUGUAGUCC
Molecule: ribosomal RNA, 450 nt
Filed under: uncultured bacterium
Lineage: Bacteria
Description: partial 16S ribosomal RNA
Rfam family: Bacterial small subunit ribosomal RNA
Source: RNAcentral